This 3465-nucleotide ribosomal RNA is filed under the name Klebsiella pneumoniae. RNAcentral's name for it is "23S ribosomal RNA". It matches the Rfam family "Bacterial large subunit ribosomal RNA". The record is from RNAcentral. Lineage: Bacteria; Pseudomonadati; Pseudomonadota; Gammaproteobacteria; Enterobacterales; Enterobacteriaceae.
UUAAGCGACUAAGCGUACACGGUGGAUGCCCUGGCAGUCAGAGGCGAUGAAGGACGUGCUAAUCUGCGAAAAGCGUCGGUAAGGUGAUAUGAACCGUUACAGCCGGCGAUGUCCGAAUGGGGAAACCCAGUGCAAUUCGUUGCACUAUCGUUAACUGAAUACAUAGGUUAACGAGGCGAACCGGGGGAACUGAAACAUCUAAGUACCCCGAGGAAAAGAAAUCAACCGAGAUUCCCCCAGUAGCGGCGAGCGAACGGGGAGCAGCCCAGAGUCUGAAUCAGCUUGUGUGUUAGUGGAACGGUCUGGAAAGUCCGACGGUACAGGGUGAUAGUCCCGUACACCAAAAUGCACAGGNUGUGAACUCGAAGAGUAGGGCGGGACACGUGGUAUCCUGUCUGAAUAUGGGGGGACCAUCCUCCAAGGCUAAAUACUCCUGACUGACCGAUAGUGAACCAGUACCGUGAGGGAAAGGCGAAAAGAACCCCGGCGAGGGGAGUGAAAAAGAACCUGAAACCGUGUACGUACAAGCAGUGGGAGCACCUUCGGGUGUGACUGCGUACCUUUUGUAUAAUGGGUCAGCGACUUAUAUUCUGUAGCAAGGUUAACCGUAUAGGGGAGCCGCAGGGAAACCGAGUCUUAACUGGGCGUUAAGUUGCAGGGUAUAGACCCGAAACCCGGUGAUCUAGCCAUGGGCAGGUUGAAGGUUGGGUAACACUAACUGGAGGACCGAACCGACUAAUGUUGAAAAAUUAGCGGAUGACUUGUGGCUGGGGGUGAAAGGCCAAUCAAACCGGGAGAUAGCUGGUUCUCCCCGAAAGCUAUUUAGGUAGCGCCUCGUGAACUCAUCUUCGGGGGUAGAGCACUGUUUCGGCUAGGGGGUCAUCCCGACUUACCAACCCGAUGCAAACUACGAAUACCGAAGAAUGUUAUCACGGGAGACACACGGCGGGUGCUAACGUCCGUCGUGAAGAGGGAAACAACCCAGACCGCCAGCUAAGGUCCCAAAGUCAUGGUUAAGUGGGAAACGAUGUGGGAAGGCACAGACAGCCAGGAUGUUGGCUUAGAAGCAGCCAUCAUUUAAAGAAAGCGUAAUAGCUCACUGGUCGAGUCGGCCUGCGCGGAAGAUGUAACGGGGCUAAACCAUGCACCGAAGCUGCGGCAGCGACACUAUGUGUUGUUGGGUAGGGGAGCGUUCUGUAAGCCUGCGAAGGUGUGCUGUGAGGCAUGCUGGAGGUAUCAGAAGUGCGAAUGCUGACAUAAGUAACGAUAAAGCGGGUGAAAAGCCCGCUCGCCGGAAGACCAAGGGUUCCUGUCCAACGUUAAUCGGGGCAGGGUGAGUCGACCCCUAAGGCGAGGCCGAAAGGCGUAGUCGAUGGGAAACAGGUUAAUAUUCCUGUACUUGGUGUUACUGCGAAGGGGGGACGGAGAAGGCUAUGUUAGCCGGGCGACGGUUGUCCCGGUUUAAGCAUGUAGGCUGGUUAUCCCCGAAAGCUAUUUAGGUAGCGCCUCGUGAACUCAUCUUCGGGGGUAGAGCACUGUUUCGGCUAGGGGGUCAUCCCGACUUACCAACCCGAUGCAAACUACGAAUACCGAAGAAUGUUAUCACGGGAGACACACGGCGGGUGCUAACGUCCGUCGUGAAGAGGGAAACAACCCAGACCGCCAGCUAAGGUCCCAAAGUCAUGGUUAAGUGGGAAACGAUGUGGGAAGGCACAGACAGCCAGGAUGUUGGCUUAGAAGCAGCCAUCAUUUAAAGAAAGCGUAAUAGCUCACUGGUCGAGUCGGCCUGCGCGGAAGAUGUAACGGGGCUAAACCAUGCACCGAAGCUGCGGCAGCGACACUAUGUGUUGUUGGGUAGGGGAGCGUUCUGUAAGCCUGCGAAGGUGUGCUGUGAGGCAUGCUGGAGGUAUCAGAAGUGCGAAUGCUGACAUAAGUAACGAUAAAGCGGGUGAAAAGCCCGCUCGCCGGAAGACCAAGGGUUCCUGUCCAACGUUAAUCGGGGCAGGGUGAGUCGACCCCUAAGGCGAGGCCGAAAGGCGUAGUCGAUGGGAAACAGGUUAAUAUUCCUGUACUUGGUGUUACUGCGAAGGGGGGACGGAGAAGGCUAUGUUAGCCGGGCGACGGUUGUCCCGGUUUAAGCAUGUAGGCUGGUUAUCCAGGCAAAUCCGGAUAANCAAGGCUGAGGUGUGAUGACGAGGCACUACGGUGCUGAAGUAACAAAUGCCCUGCUUCCAGGAAAAGCCUCUAAGCAUCAGGUAACAUCAAAUCGUACCCCAAACCGACACAGGUGGUCAGGUAGAGAAUACCAAGGCGCUUGAGAGAACUCGGGUGAAGGAACUAGGCAAAAUGGUGCCGUAACUUCGGGAGAAGGCACGCUGGUGUGUAGGUGAAGUCCCUGCGGAUGGAGCUGAGACCAGUCGAAGAUACCAGCUGGCUGCAACUGUUUAUUAAAAACACAGCACUGUGCAAACACGAAAGUGGACGUAUACGGUGUGACGCCUGCCCGGUGCCGGAAGGUUAAUUGAUGGGGUUAUCCGUAAGGAGAAGCUCUUGAUCGAAGCCCCGGUAAACGGCGGCCGUAACUAUAACGGUCCUAAGGUAGCGAAAUUCCUUGUCGGGUAAGUUCCGACCUGCACGAAUGGCGUAAUGAUGGCCAGGCUGUCUCCACCCGAGACUCAGUGAAAUUGAACUCGCUGUGAAGAUGCAGUGUACCCGCGGCAAGACGGAAAGACCCCGUGAACCUUUACUAUAGCUUGACACUGAACAUUGAGCCUUGAUGUGUAGGAUAGGUGGGAGGCUUUGAAGCGUGGACGCCAGUCUGCGUGGAGCCAACCUUGAAAUACCACCCUUUAAUGUUUGAUGUUCUAACGUUGGCCCCUGACCGGGGUUGCGGACAGUGUCUGGUGGGUAGUUUGACUGGGGCGGUCUCCUCCCAAAGCGUAACGGAGGAGCACGAAGGUUAGCUAAUCCUGGUCGGACAUCAGGAGGUUAGUGCAAUGGCAUAAGCUAGCUUGACUGCGAGCGUGACGGCGCGAGCAGGUGCGAAAGCAGGUCAUAGUGAUCCGGUGGUUCUGAAUGGAAGGGCCAUCGCUCAACGGAUAAAAGGUACUCCGGGGAUAACAGGCUGAUACCGCCCAAGAGUUCAUAUCGACGGCGGUGUUUGGCACCUCGAUGUCGGCUCAUCACAUCCUGGGGCUGAAGUAGGUCCCAAGGGUAUGGCUGUUCGCCAUUUAAAGUGGUACGCGAGCUGGGUUUAGAACGUCGUGAGACAGUUCGGUCCCUAUCUGCCGUGGGCGCUGGAGAAUUGAGGGGGGCUGCUCCUAGUACGAGAGGACCGGAGUGGACGCAUCACUGGUGUUCGGGUUGUCAUGCCAAUGGCACUGCCCGGUAGCUAAAUGCGGAAGAGAUAAGUGCUGAAAGCAUCUAAGCACGAAACUUGCCCCGAGAUGAGUUCUCCCUGAGACU